RNAcentral lists this ribosomal RNA (530 nucleotides) under uncultured Nitrospira sp. Its description in RNAcentral is "bacterial SSU rRNA". It matches the Rfam family "Bacterial small subunit ribosomal RNA", at positions 355 to 888 of the family's 1533-position model. Lineage: Bacteria; Pseudomonadati; Nitrospirota; Nitrospiria; Nitrospirales; Nitrospiraceae. The record is from RNAcentral.
UAAGGAAUAUUGCGCAAUGGGCGACAGCCUGACGCAGCGACGCCGCGUGGGGGAUGAAGGUCUUCGGAUUGUAAACCCCUUUCGGGAGGGAAGAGGGAAUGGGGUAACCCAUUCGGACGGUACCUCCAGAAGCAGCCACGGCUAACUUCGUGCCAGCAGCCGCGGUAAUACGAAGGUGGCAAGCGUUGUUCGGAUUCACUGGGCGUACAGGGAGCGUAGGCGGUUGGGUAAGCCCUCCGUGAAAUCUCCGGGCCUAACCCGGAAAGUGCAGAGGGGACUGCUCGGCUUGAGGACGGGAGAGGAGCGCGGAAUUCCCGGUGUAGCGGUGAAAUGCGUAGAGAUCGGGAGGAAGGCCGGUGGCGAAGGCGGCGCUCUGGAACGUUUCUGACGCUGAGGCUCGAAAGCGUGGGGAGCAAACAGGAUUAGAUACCCUGGUAGUCCACGCCUUAAACUAUGGAUACUAAGUGUCGGCGGGUUACCGCCGGUGCCGCAGCUAACGCAUUAAGUAUCCCGCCUGGGAAGUACGGCCG